RNAcentral lists this ribosomal RNA (387 nucleotides) under uncultured bacterium. Its description in RNAcentral is "bacterial SSU rRNA". It matches the Rfam family "Bacterial small subunit ribosomal RNA", at positions 94 to 498 of the family's 1533-position model. The record is from RNAcentral.
AGUGGCGAACGGGUGCGUAACACGUGAGAAACCUGUCCCGAACUUGGGAAUAACAGCCGGAAACGGCUGCUAAUACCGAAUAUCUUCGUAACGUCGCAUGGCGUAUCGAAGAAAGCUUUAUGCGGUUUGGGAGGGUCUCGCGGCCUAUCAGCUAGUUGGUGAGGUAAUGGCUCACCAAGGCAUCGACGGGUAGCUGGUCUGAGAGGAUGAUCAGCCACACUGGGACUGAGACACGGCCCNNNCUCCUACGGGAGGCAGCAGUGGGGAAUAUUGCACAAUGGGCGAAAGCCUGAUGCAGCAACGCCGCGUGCGGGAAGAAGGCCCUAGGGUUGUAAACCGCUUUCAGUAGGGAAGAAAAUGACGGUACCUACAGAAGAAGGUGCGGCC